This 74-nucleotide transfer RNA is filed under the name Cryomorphaceae bacterium. RNAcentral's name for it is "tRNA-Ala". It matches the Rfam family "tRNA". From Rfam's summary of the family: Transfer RNA (tRNA) molecules are approximately 80 nucleotides in length. Their secondary structure includes four short double-helical elements and three loops (D, anti-codon, and T loops). Further hydrogen bonds mediate the characteristic L-shaped molecular structure. tRNAs have two regions of fundamental functional importance: the anti-codon, which is responsible for specific mRNA codon recognition, and the 3' end, to which the tRNAs corresponding amino acid is attached (by aminoacyl-tRNA synthetases). tRNAs cope with the degeneracy of the genetic code in two manners: having more than one tRNA (with a specific anti-codon) for a particular amino acid; and 'wobble' base-pairing, i.e. permitting non-standard base-pairing at the 3rd anti-codon position. RNAcentral also lists the same sequence under 1 other name. Lineage: Bacteria; Pseudomonadati; Bacteroidota; Flavobacteriia; Flavobacteriales; Cryomorphaceae. The record is from RNAcentral.
GGGGGUAUAGCUCAGUUGGCUAGAGUACUUGCAUGGCAUGCAAGGGGUCCGGGGUUCGAAUCCCCGUACCUCCA